CUACGCGUCCCAGGAUGCCGCGCGCGGCCGCGGGGCGAGGGUUUGAACCGGGGUCUGCCGCCCGCGGCGGGCCUGCGUCGGCUGCGGCGGGUGCGGGAGGUGGCGACGGCCGGGGCUGGGGUCCCAGCCAGGCGGCGGAGGUGGGCGCGGCGGCCGCGGGGGGCGCUGCUCCUGAGGUGAUGAUGGGCAAGGAGGAGGAGAUUGCGCGGAUCGCCCGGAGGCUGGACAAGAUGGUGACCAAGAAGAGCGCGGAGGGAGCCAUGGACCUGCUGCGGGAGCUGAAGGCCAUGCCUAUCACACUGCACCUGCUCCAGUCCACUCGAGUUGGGAUGUCCGUCAAUGCCCUUCGGAAGCAGAGCUCUGACGAGGAGGUCAUUGCACUGGCCAAGUCCCUCAUCAAGUCCUGGAAGAAGCUCCUGGAUGCUUCAGAUGCCAAAGCCAGGGAGCGGGGGAGGAGCACCCCUCUGCCCACAUCUUCAAGGGAUGCCUCAGAGGCCCAGGAUCCCAGCCGAAAGAGGCCGGAGCUGCCCAGGACACCGUCCACUCCGAGGAUCACCACGUUUCCCCCAGUGCCCGUCACCUGUGAUGCUGUGCGCAACAAGUGCCGUGAGAUGCUGGCCAUUGCCCUGCAGACGGACCAUGACCAUGUGGCCAUCGGUGCGGACUGCAAGCGUCUGUCGGCUCAGAUCGAGGAAUGCAUCUUCCGGGAUGUGGGGAACACAGACAUGAAGUAUAAGAACCGUGUGCGGAGCCGUAUCUCCAACUUGAAGGAUGCUAAGAAUCCUGACCUGCGGCGGAACGUGCUGUGUGGGGCCAUCACGCCCCAGCAGAUCGCCGUGAUGACCUCAGAGGAGAUGGCCAGUGACGAGCUGAAGGAGAUCCGUAAGGCCAUGACCAAGGAGGCCAUCCGAGAGCACCAGAUGGCCCGCACUGGUGGCACGCAGACGGACCUAUUCACAUGUGGCAAGUGCCGGAAGAAGAACUGCACCUACACGCAGGUGCAGACCCGCAGCUCUGAUGAGCCCAUGACCACCUUUGUUGUCUGCAACGAGUGUGGAAACCGCUGGAAGCUGUAACUCCUGGUGGGCCCCCAUGCUCCAAAUAUGACCCAUUCCAGCUGCUGUGGACAAGGCCCCUCCCUGGGGUUGGGCAGUGCUUGGGUUUGGCCCUGGUGGGUCAGCCCCAGGAGAGGAGCUUGGCUGACCUUCGGAGAUCACCUGGGGUGGCUGUGUGUGAGGGCAGCGAGGAGGGGCCUCGUGUGUGUGCCUGUCCUGUGGGGGGUGGCUGUGUGUGUGAGGGCAGUGGGGAGGGGCCUCGUGUGUGGGGCAGCUUUGUGUGAGGGCAGCAGGGAGGGGGCCUUGUGUGUGUGCCUGUCCUGUGCGGGGCGGCUCUGUGUGAGGGCAGCACACCUUGUGUGUUUGCUGACAGCCUGUGGUCCUGUAUGGAGCAGUGUCCUCCCCGCUGCCUCAGGCAUGGGCUGCUCAGGGCCUGCGUCUGCUCCUGGCACUUUAGAACACUUGUCCCCAUGCUGCUGCCUCUCUUCUUCUGGGAGUUACGGUCUCAGGGGCCUGAGCCAAUGUCAGCUUCAAAUCACUUACCUUCCCAGAAAUGUAGAGGUGGGCCUGUGAGAUGGUGAAGAUGACACUGUGCCAGGCACGAAGCCACCCCUCCUGCCCCGGCCAGCCUUCGUCUGGGGACCCUGUCCAGCUGGGCCUGGGCAGCCCCUCCUGCUGCCUCUGAGGUGCUGUGGGUCCUGCUGUUGUACCCCCACUUCACCACUAAGGAGGCUGAGGCCAAGAUCAUGGAGCCCAUGCCCUGGGCAGGGUGAAGCACAGCUACCCACUGGGGCCCCUGUUCUGAGGAGGAGUCUGGUGGAGCCCAGGGUGUGGGAGGGGCAAGCACACAGGCUGUCUCCCCUCUGGGGGGCACUGGAGCCCCCUGUCCUGGGACAAGGACACUGCUCCCCAGCCCUGAGUGUGGGACCAACCCUCAUUCUCCAGUCUCUCCCCAAACUUGGGAAAAAAAUGAGGAGAGACUUUUGCUUUAAAAAUAUCUUCAAUAAUAACAUCGUAUUUUGGGGGGCUUAGGGAUAGAGAUAAAUAUGAACAAACUUUUUUUUUGAUAAAACACAUAUCAAGGACAUGUUUCCAGGUUUAAACUUCAUGAACAUAUAAAACAGAAAUUGGGUCCUGGCACCUUGAGUGCAAGAUUCUGAGGUUCUACAUCUGGCUCUGAGGUUCUGGGUUUGGUUCUGGGGUACAGACAGCUCAAGUAGGAGGUCUCUUUAUGUCACAAAACUACACAACAUGGAGGUUCUAUAUCCACCAAAGGUUAGUCUGGGGCCUAUCAGCUGCCUGGGGAGGGGGCCCCAACGAGGCUCAUGGGUCCAGUAUGCCUCCUGGGGGGGGGACCCCUGCUCUCACCACACAAGAGUCCCCAGCCAGGAGCACCAUGCCAGCCAGCUGUGGGCGAUGAGGGGGCUUCUGACCCGCCCUGCACCUGGAGUUCCCGCUCGGGACGGUGGUCAGAGCCAGAAGACACAGCACUCCCCACUGGGUCUAGGACAGCCUCCAGGGCUGCGGACUGCAGCUGGCCAGGCUGGGCCUGCAGGCAGGUGCCCUGACAGCAACCCCGAGUCUGCCAGGGGAGGCGGCGGGGUCUGUGCUGCCAGACAGCCUAGGCCUCGGAGGAGGAUUGUGAGGGUCCCUGCAGCAGCAGGGCACGGUACGUGGGAGAGCUGAGGAAGCGCGGGUAGGAGUCCCGGUGCAUAAGCGUGUAUAUCUGCAGCUGGGCGUCGUCGAAUGUGUGUGCGGACGGCUCCUGCAUCUUCUUGUUGAUACCCUCCCGCACUCGGGAGUCCAGGCUCACCUGCAGGACAAGGCACUGGGGUCAGGGGCUUGGGAGGUGCUUUCCCCACCUAGUGCCUGGAGCAGGCUGCCCUGCCCGUUCCGGUGGCCGGCGCACCUCCCUGGGGGACAGGAUAGACACGUAGUCCUCAUAGAUGAGCCGCGCCUUCUCGUCCACCAUAUGUUGGUUGGCCUCGGCCUUCAGCUCCUCGCAGGCUAGCCAGAAGAGCAUGUUCUCCUCGCUGUACUCCGUCCGCAGGAACGCCCGGAACACGCCGCGUCCCGCUGGGCUGUGCAUCAGCUUGUCAAAGGACUGCGCCCAGCUCUGCACCUCCUCAGGACUUGGCGUGGCACUGCAGGAGUAAAAUAGCACAAUCUCGGCUCACCACAACCUCCGCUUCCCAGGUUCAAGCAAUUCUCCUGCCUCCCGAGUAGCUGGGAUUACAGAUGCCUGCCACCA
Molecule: non-coding RNA, 3306 nt
Organism: Callithrix jacchus (white-tufted-ear marmoset)
Lineage: Eukaryota; Metazoa; Chordata; Mammalia; Primates; Cebidae
Source: RefSeq, a predicted model, not a curated record